Molecule: ribosomal RNA, 2902 nt
Filed under: Klebsiella pneumoniae
Lineage: Bacteria; Pseudomonadati; Pseudomonadota; Gammaproteobacteria; Enterobacterales; Enterobacteriaceae
Description: 23S ribosomal RNA
Rfam family: Bacterial large subunit ribosomal RNA
Source: RNAcentral
GGUUAAGCGACUAAGCGUACACGGUGGAUGCCCUGGCAGUCAGAGGCGAUGAAGGACGUGCUAAUCUGCGAAAAGCGUCGGUAAGGUGAUAUGAACCGUUAUAACCGGCGAUGUCCGAAUGGGGAAACCCAGUGUGAUUCGUCACACUAUCGUUAACUGAAUACAUAGGUUAACGAGGCGAACCGGGGGAACUGAAACAUCUAAGUACCCCGAGGAAAAGAAAUCAACCGAGAUUCCCCCAGUAGCGGCGAGCGAACGGGGAGCAGCCCAGAGUCUGAAUCAGCUUGUGUGUUAGUGGAACGGUCUGGAAAGUCCGACGGUACAGGGUGAUAGUCCCGUACACCAAAAUGCACAGGUUGUGAACUCGAAGAGUAGGGCGGGACACGUGGUAUCCUGUCUGAAUAUGGGGGGACCAUCCUCCAAGGCUAAAUACUCCUGACUGACCGAUAGUGAACCAGUACCGUGAGGGAAAGGCGAAAAGAACCCCGGCGAGGGGAGUGAAAAAGAACCUGAAACCGUGUACGUACAAGCAGUGGGAGCACCUUCGGGUGUGACUGCGUACCUUUUGUAUAAUGGGUCAGCGACUUAUAUUCUGUAGCAAGGUUAACCGUAUAGGGGAGCCGCAGGGAAACCGAGUCUUAACUGGGCGUUAAGUUGCAGGGUAUAGACCCGAAACCCGGUGAUCUAGCCAUGGGCAGGUUGAAGGUUGGGUAACACUAACUGGAGGACCGAACCGACUAAUGUUGAAAAAUUAGCGGAUGACUUGUGGCUGGGGGUGAAAGGCCAAUCAAACCGGGAGAUAGCUGGUUCUCCCCGAAAGCUAUUUAGGUAGCGCCUCGUGAAUUCAUCUUCGGGGGUAGAGCACUGUUUCGGCUAGGGGGUCAUCCCGACUUACCAACCCGAUGCAAACUACGAAUACCGAAGAAUGUUAUCACGGGAGACACACGGCGGGUGCUAACGUCCGUCGUGAAGAGGGAAACAACCCAGACCGCCAGCUAAGGUCCCAAAGUCAUGGUUAAGUGGGAAACGAUGUGGGAAGGCACAGACAGCCAGGAUGUUGGCUUAGAAGCAGCCAUCAUUUAAAGAAAGCGUAAUAGCUCACUGGUCGAGUCGGCCUGCGCGGAAGAUGUAACGGGGCUAAACCAUGCACCGAAGCUGCGGCAGCGACACUAUGUGUUGUUGGGUAGGGGAGCGUUCUGUAAGCCUGCGAAGGUGUGCUGUGAGGCAUGCUGGAGGUAUCAGAAGUGCGAAUGCUGACAUAAGUAACGAUAAAGCGGGUGAAAAGCCCGCUCGCCGGAAGACCAAGGGUUCCUGUCCAAGGUUAAUCGGGGCAGGGUGAGUCGACCCCUAAGGCGAGGCCGAAAGGCGUAGUCGAUGGGAAACAGGUUAAUAUUCCUGUACUUGGUGUUACUGCGAAGGGGGGACGGAGAAGGCUAUGUUAGCCGGGCGACGGUUGUCCCGGUUUAAGCAUGUAGGCUGAUUGUCCAGGCAAAUCCGGAUAAUCAAGGCUGAGGUGUGAUGACGAGGCACUACGGUGCUGAAGUAACAAAUGCCCUGCUUCCAGGAAAAGCCUCUAAGCAUCAGGUAACAUUAAAUCGUACCCCAAACCGACACAGGUGGUCAGGUAGAGAAUACCAAGGCGCUUGAGAGAACUCGGGUGAAGGAACUAGGCAAAAUGGUGCCGUAACUUCGGGAGAAGGCACGCUGGUGUGUAGGUGAAGUCCCUGCGGAUGGAGCUGAGACCAGUCGAAGAUACCAGCUGGCUGCAACUGUUUAUUAAAAACACAGCACUGUGCAAACACGAAAGUGGACGUAUACGGUGUGACGCCUGCCCGGUGCCGGAAGGUUAAUUGAUGGGGUUAUCCGUAAGGAGAAGCUCUUGAUCGAAGCCCCGGUAAACGGCGGCCGUAACUAUAACGGUCCUAAGGUAGCGAAAUUCCUUGUCGGGUAAGUUCCGACCUGCACGAAUGGCGUAAUGAUGGCCAGGCUGUCUCCACCCGAGACUCAGUGAAAUUGAACUCGCUGUGAAGAUGCAGUGUACCCGCGGCAAGACGGAAAGACCCCGUGAACCUUUACUAUAGCUUGACACUGAACAUUGAGCCUUGAUGUGUAGGAUAGGUGGGAGGCUUUGAAGCGUGGACGCCAGUCUGCGUGGAGCCAACCUUGAAAUACCACCCUUUAAUGUUUGAUGUUCUAACGUUGGCCCCUGACCGGGGUUGCGGACAGUGUCUGGUGGGUAGUUUGACUGGGGCGGUCUCCUCCCAAAGCGUAACGGAGGAGCACGAAGGUUAGCUAAUCCUGGUCGGACAUCAGGAGGUUAGUGCAAUGGCAUAAGCUAGCUUGACUGCGAGCGUGACGGCGCGAGCAGGUGCGAAAGCAGGUCAUAGUGAUCCGGUGGUUCUGAAUGGAAGGGCCAUCGCUCAACGGAUAAAAGGUACUCCGGGGAUAACAGGCUGAUACCGCCCAAGAGUUCAUAUCGACGGCGGUGUUUGGCACCUCGAUGUCGGCUCAUCACAUCCUGGGGCUGAAGUAGGUCCCAAGGGUAUGGCUGUUCGCCAUUUAAAGUGGUACGCGAGCUGGGUUUAGAACGUCGUGAGACAGUUCGGUCCCUAUCUGCCGUGGGCGCUGGAGAAUUGAGGGGGGCUGCUCCUAGUACGAGAGGACCGGAGUGGACGCAUCACUGGUGUUCGGGUUGUCAUGCCAAUGGCACUGCCCGGUAGCUAAAUGCGGAAGAGAUAAGUGCUGAAAGCAUCUAAGCACGAAACUUGCCCCGAGAUGAGUUCUCCCUGAGACUUUAAGUCUCCUGAAGGAACGUUGAAGACGACGACGUUGAUAGGCCGGGUGUGUAAGCGCAGCGAUGCGUUGAGCUAACCGGUACUAAUGAACCGUGAGGCUUAACCUU